CAGCAGCCACGGGAAUACGUAGGUGGCAAGCGUUGUCCGGAAUUAUUGGGCGUAAAGGGCUCGCAGGCGGUUUCUUAAGUCUGAUGUGAAAGCCCCCGGCUCAACCGGGGAGGGUCAUUGGAAACUGGGAAACUUGAGUGCAGAAGAGGAGAGUGGAAUUCCACGUGUAGCGGUGAAAUGCGUAGAGAUGUGGAGGAACACCAGUGGCGAAGGCGACUCCCUGGUCUGUAACUGACGCUGAGGAGCGAAAGCGUGGGGAGCGAACAGGAUUAGAUACCCCCGUAGUCCCUGUCUCUUAUAA
RNAcentral lists this ribosomal RNA (301 nucleotides) under uncultured bacterium. RNAcentral describes it as "partial 16S ribosomal RNA". It matches the Rfam family "Bacterial small subunit ribosomal RNA", at positions 509 to 809 of the family's 1533-position model. The record is from RNAcentral.